Molecule: ribosomal RNA, 434 nt
Filed under: uncultured Lachnospiraceae bacterium
Lineage: Bacteria; Bacillati; Bacillota; Clostridia; Lachnospirales; Lachnospiraceae
Description: bacterial SSU rRNA
Rfam family: Bacterial small subunit ribosomal RNA
Source: RNAcentral
ACGGGAGGCAGCAGUGGGGAAUAUUGCACAAUGGGGGAAACCCUGAUGCAGCGACGCCGCGUGAGUGAAGAAGUAUUUCGGUAUGUAAAGCUCUAUCAGCAAGGAAGAAAAUGACGGUACUUGACUAAGAAGCCCCGGCUAACUACGUGCCAGCAGCCGCGGUAAUACGUAGGGGGCAAGCGUUAUCCGGAUUUACUGGGUGUAAAGGGAGCGUAGACGGUGAGGCAAGUCUGAAGUGAAAUGCAUGGGCUCAACCCAUGAACUGCUUUGGAAACUGUCUGACUAGAGUGCAGGAGAGGUAAGUGGAAUUCCUAGUGUAGCGGUGAAAUGCGUAGAUAUUAGGAGGAACACCAGUGGCGAAGGCGGCUUACUGGACCGUAACUGACGUUGAGGCUCGAAAGCGUGGGGAGCAAACAGGAUUAGAUACCCUGGUA